CUCGGCUGGGGUCCCGGAGAGGUCGAGGUGCCGUCUCUUUAGCUAAAACAGGUUUUAGCCGCCGCGUUUUUAAUAGUAUUUGCCACGAGUGUAAAGAAGGGAGCUUCCACAAGCUAUUUUAUCCCCAAGACUACAUCAAGGGAAUGUGGCCCUGCCAGCACCUGGAUUUUGGCCCAGUGAAACUAAUUUGGGACUUCCGACCUAUAGAACUAGAGAGCACAAGCAGAGGGAGCAGCAGGCAGAGGGAGAAG
Molecule: long non-coding RNA, 251 nt
Organism: Zalophus californianus (California sea lion)
Lineage: Eukaryota; Metazoa; Chordata; Mammalia; Carnivora; Otariidae
Exons: 3
Source: RefSeq, a predicted model, not a curated record